ACCUUAGUGGUCCAAUGGCUAAGACUCUGAGCUCCCAACUCCAGAGACCCAGGUUCAAACCCUGGUCAGGGAA
RNAcentral lists this transfer RNA (73 nucleotides) under Ovis aries (sheep). It matches the Rfam family "tRNA". From Rfam's summary of the family: Transfer RNA (tRNA) molecules are approximately 80 nucleotides in length. Their secondary structure includes four short double-helical elements and three loops (D, anti-codon, and T loops). Further hydrogen bonds mediate the characteristic L-shaped molecular structure. tRNAs have two regions of fundamental functional importance: the anti-codon, which is responsible for specific mRNA codon recognition, and the 3' end, to which the tRNAs corresponding amino acid is attached (by aminoacyl-tRNA synthetases). tRNAs cope with the degeneracy of the genetic code in two manners: having more than one tRNA (with a specific anti-codon) for a particular amino acid; and 'wobble' base-pairing, i.e. permitting non-standard base-pairing at the 3rd anti-codon position. Lineage: Eukaryota; Metazoa; Chordata; Mammalia; Artiodactyla; Bovidae. The record is from Rfam by way of RNAcentral.